CUGACAUCGGCUAGAAACAUCAGAGCUCUGCUCUUUUUAUUACUAUCUUGCCUCACAGUCCUGCAUAGAAGUGCAAAUGUUGAUGGAUGCAAAAUACUACUGGAGAAGACACUUGACUGAGCAGACACUGCCGUCACAACUCUCUUGAAAGAUCCACGCUGGGAAGACAUACAGAAAAUGGGCUUCAUAGUUCAGCGAACCAAAGAGACAUUUUGAAAGUCCCUCUUGAGUCUCCAAGUGUCUUGCAAAUGGCUGUGCUGGAAGGAUGCUGGUGCCAAGAAAAGGCCAUGCGGGCAGAGAGAAGAUGGCUCUGCACUAACCAGGAGGAGGACCCUCACCAGAGCCUAACCACCCCUGUACCCUGAUCUCAGACUUCAGUCUCCAGCACCCCACAUGGGAUUCCCCUGAAACACAGUGAGUCAAAUCAAAGAGCUCUCACCCAAAGUUCCAGAAGAAAAUAAACAAAAUGAAACCUGAGGCA
RNAcentral lists this long non-coding RNA (481 nucleotides) under Ursus maritimus (polar bear). RNAcentral's name for it is "lncRNA (ENSUMAG00000001147.1)". Lineage: Eukaryota; Metazoa; Chordata; Mammalia; Carnivora; Ursidae. The record is from RNAcentral.